GUGCCAGCAGCCGCGGUAAUACCGGCAGCUCGAGUGAUGGCCACUCUUAUUGGGCCUAAAGCGUCCGUAGCUGGCCGCGCAAGUCCGUCGGGAAAUCCAUCAACCCAACUGAUGGGCGUCCGGCGGAAACUGCACAGCUUGGGACCGGAAGGCUCGAAGGGUACGUGCGGGGUAGGAGUGAAAUCCUAUAAUCCCGCACGGACCACCGAUGGCGAAAGCACUUCGAGAAAACGGAUCCGGCAGUGAGGGACGAAAGCCAGGGUCUCGAACCGGAUUAGAAACCCGGGUAGUCC
RNAcentral lists this ribosomal RNA (293 nucleotides) under uncultured bacterium. RNAcentral's name for it is "partial 16S ribosomal RNA". It matches the Rfam family "Archaeal small subunit ribosomal RNA", at positions 455 to 747 of the family's 1478-position model. The record is from RNAcentral.